UGGAAAUGAAGGAUGAAAGGCUAUGAUCAUACCUCCCGGCAUGAAAGAAUGUUUCUGUGAAUGUUGUCAGGAAGCAUAUGCUUGGAUGUCACUCCAGAGGAAGGUAGCUGAUUGCUCCCAGCUGUACCUGCUUACCAAAUAAGAGUGAGCCAGCAUAAAAGCAAAGCUCCAGCUACCAGACUUGGAGAAAACGUUCCCCCAAGAGCUUUCUCCAGAGCGUUGUCUUUGUCCUGCCUAGCUUGUUGCUGCAGUUACAGUUGUUUCCUCCUGCAGUUCCGCAUUCUGCUGUGCUGAUGCUACAUGACAGGUGUGAGGGCUUUAAGGAUGCUGUUGCUGAAUGAGAUCCGCUGUAUGGGAUCCUCUUUUCCCGUCCAUGUUAUUUGGAGACGCGAGGUUCGACAGGUCAUGUGCAGUGUGAAGUUUGGUUGCUUCACCGAUGGAGAUGAACUUCCUCUGAACCUCACCGGCAGAUUGUGAAGUAAGCAAACAAAAACUGAAUGCUGACAGGGACUCAUAUUUGAUCACAAAGCCCCGGAUAUAGAAUCCAAUCUGGCUGGAACUUAUCUGAGCUCGUAAGGAUGCCAUUGAGCAUCUAGCUGAGCUUAGUGGGACACUUAUCCUCGCUUUAAUCCUGGCUCAAGAGACUGGAUCAGAGGAGCAUGAGCAGUAAUAAAGAUUAAUCAUCCAAUAGAGUAAAUCAAUAAUGCGGUCCAGGUACAAAGCAGGGACAGAGUUAGAGAUGCACACAUUUGAAGAAGUGUUUCUUUCACCGCUCACCCAAUGAGAAGUGAACACAUUUGAGUGGUGAAAGCACCCAUCAGGAUUGACAAUGCUCAAACGAAUAUUUAAAUUAACGUGCUUUAUUUAAAAUGCUAAUGAGAGCGUUAUCCAUAUUCAGCGGGUAGAGCUUGUUCAAGGUCAUUGGAGAGCACAGGGAAUCUGCAUUACAGCUAUGUAAUUAGAGAUGCGUCAGAGUUUAAAUUGUUGCUCUUUCUGUGGCGUUCAGGAGGAAAAGAGCUCAUUACUGUAAUUAGCUGUUUUACCGGCACGGUUCUGCUUUCUGCCAUGUGACCAUACGUUUGUAGCUGAAAGCAUCAAUGUGUUGCUUCACAUACUGCAGCUGUUUACAGCAUGUUUGUUUGAGCCUUAAGGAGUAUAAAUCUUGCAUAUCCCAAGUGUUUAAGUUUAAAAAUAUAUUGUUAAUGAAUCACUUUGAGAAUUUAGUUAAGGAACUAAGGAUUCUUCUCUGAUAUCAUGCUCUUUCAGUGUUCAAUUUUAUUAUAUUAAUGUAUACUGGGUGUUGUUUAUUGCUAUUUAUUUAUUUAUUACCUAGAUCUGGCAUGAAACUCUGAUGAUGCAGGCUGAUGGGUCUUUAACUUAAAAGCGAUAAUAAAUAUAUGUUUUCCACAAAAAUAUUAAGCAGCACUACUGUUUCCAACAUUGAUAAU
Long non-coding RNA from Megalobrama amblycephala (Wuchang bream), 1448 nucleotides. RefSeq lists it as uncharacterized. Lineage: Eukaryota; Metazoa; Chordata; Actinopteri; Cypriniformes; Xenocyprididae. The transcript has 3 exons. The record is from RefSeq and is a predicted model, not a curated record.